AGAGUUUGAUCAUGGCUCAGGGUUAACGCUGGCGGCGUGCCUAACACAUGCAAGUCGAGCGAGGACCUGGUUCCCGCAAGGGAGCUGGGCACCUAGCGGCAAACGGGUGAGUAACACGUGGGCAACCUGUCCCUUCGCGGGGGAUAACACCGAGAAAUCGGUGCUAAUACCGCAUGUCAUCGAUGGUGGCAUCACCGUCG
This 200-nucleotide ribosomal RNA is filed under the name uncultured bacterium. RNAcentral's name for it is "partial 16S ribosomal RNA". It matches the Rfam family "Bacterial small subunit ribosomal RNA", at positions 8 to 199 of the family's 1533-position model. The record is from RNAcentral.